RNAcentral lists this long non-coding RNA (508 nucleotides) under Homo sapiens (human). Its description in RNAcentral is "non-protein coding lnc-KCNE1B-3:5". Lineage: Eukaryota; Metazoa; Chordata; Mammalia; Primates; Hominidae. The record is from RNAcentral.
AAGUGGACUCAUUCCAAUUACAGGGCCUCGAAAGAGUCCUGUAUUGUUAUCUAGAGUCACCAAAGCCGCCGGCGCCCGCCCCCCGGCCGGGGCCGGAGAGGGGCUGACCGGGUUGGUUUUGAUCUGAUAAAUGCACGCAUCCCCCCCGCGAAGGGGGUCAGCGCCCGUCGGCAUGUAUUAGCUCUAGAAUUACCACAGUUAUCCAAGUAGGAGAGGAGCGAGCGACCAAAGGAACCAUAACUGAUUUAAUGAGCCAUUCGCAGUUUCACUGUACCGGCCGUGCGUACUUAGACAUGCAUGGCUUAAUCUUUGAGACAAGCAUAUGCUACUGGCAGGAUCAACCAGGUAGGUAGGUAGAGCGCGGCGAGGCCCCGACGCGGCCGGACGGCCGGCCGGGGGGCCUCGCGAGGACGGGCCCGGCGCCCCGCAAGCGAGGAGGACGACGGACGGACGGACGGACGGGCCGCGGACGGCCCGACCCGCGCCCGGCGGCCGGGAGGGACCGGCG